This 492-nucleotide ribosomal RNA is filed under the name uncultured bacterium. Its description in RNAcentral is "partial 16S ribosomal RNA". It matches the Rfam family "Bacterial small subunit ribosomal RNA", at positions 29 to 507 of the family's 1533-position model. The record is from RNAcentral.
AGUGAACGCUGGCGGUAGGCCUAACACAUGCCAGUCGAACGGCAGCACAGUAAGAGCUUGCUCUUACGGGUGGCGAGUGGCGGACGGGUGAGGAAUACAUCGGAAUCUACUUUUUCGUGGGGGAUAACGUAGGGAAACUUACGCUAAUACCGCAUACGACCUACGGGUGAAAGCAGGGGAUCUCCGGACCUUGCGCGAUUGAAUGAGCCGAUGUCGGAUUAGCUAGUUGGCGGGGUAAAGGCCCACCAAGGCGACGAUCCGUAGCUGGUCUGAGAGGAUGAUCAGCCACACUGGAACUGAGACACGGUCCAGACUCCUACGGGAGGCAGCAGUGGGGAAUAUUGGACAAUGGGCGCAAGCCUGAUCCAGCCAUACCGCGUGGGUGAAGAAGGCCUUCGGGUUGUAAAGCCCUUUUGUUGGGAAAGAAAAGCAGCAGGUUAAUACCCCGCUGUUCUGACGGUACCCAAAGAAUAAGCACCGGCUAACUUCGUG